ACAAACUUGAACUUGUGAACAUGUCAACUUCAUUAUUUCCUCCCCAUUCUUGCGCUACGAAACUCUCAUUAUAUAUUUUUGCCAGUGCAGAAACUACAUCGUCUGGUGAGUUUUUGUCACAAGCAGUAAUUGUUUUCAUCACAGUAUCCCUUAUCAAUCUUACAAAGUUGUGCAACUCCAUGUUGGUGAUCUCCUCAGGUACAAAUUUUACCGGAGCAUCAAUUACAAGAUUUCCAAAAGAUUUUGCUAUUUGGGGUAAAGAGAUCAGCUUAGUACGUAAGUUUAUUGGAAUGCCCAUUAUAGAACGUCUCAAAUGCCCGUG
This 322-nucleotide long non-coding RNA is filed under the name Nicotiana tabacum (common tobacco). RNAcentral's name for it is "long non-coding RNA (NTAB_LNC015608)". Lineage: Eukaryota; Viridiplantae; Streptophyta; Magnoliopsida; Solanales; Solanaceae. The record is from RNAcentral.